CUUGAAACAAAACAAACAGAAAAACCCUAGAAAAUAACACUCCUAUUUAUUGCGGAAAGGGGGAAAAUAUUAAAAAAAUAAAUAAAAAGGUAAACCAUCGGUCCAUCGAACAAUUCAUCAACCUCAGCUAAUAAAACCCUCUCGUCUUCCGCCCACAGACGGAUUAGCAGUUCCAUUGUCAGAGGUAAAGUUGCAAGUAUCCCAAAUUGUACCAACGUCUUUGGUCUAAUUACGACAAAUACUUUCCCGUCGUCGCUGCUACCGGUACAGAGUUAGGAUUCGCGGAACAAAGGGAAGAGUCAAUGACGACGCCGAUGAGAUCGCCGAGAUGGGGUUAUGUUCGAAUAAUAACUGGAACCAUUCUUGGAGGCAUACUUGGAUUCUAUGCUAUGCAUCGUGCUGAACUCAAGUACAAGGAAAUGUGGAAUGAGAGAUUGAAGAAAUAUGAAGAGGAGCUCAAAAUGAAGCAAAGUACGGAGACGCAUGCCCCAACUGAGUUGUCAGGAGACCCUCUUCCGAGAUAGUACAAGGACUUUAGGAUACACUGCUUGGACGGUCAUACUUCUGAAGUUAGGGUUUGAUCAGCAGAAAGUUUGACGAUUGUGAACUACUCCGACCCUGGUAAAAGAACCAACAGGAUGAGUAAGUGCAGGCUCAUGUUAAUCUCAGUAAACGGAUUCUCUUUUGUGUUAGGUUUUUGUGGCCAGCAUAGUCUUUUGGUUCAAGAUCCAGGAAAGAAAAGCUUUUCGGCCUCACAUUUACUCGGCCUCAACUAGGUGGUAUCCACUAGUUGAGAAUAGGUUUUAGACUUG
Nicotiana tabacum (common tobacco) is the source of this 812-nucleotide non-coding RNA. Lineage: Eukaryota; Viridiplantae; Streptophyta; Magnoliopsida; Solanales; Solanaceae. The record is from RefSeq and is a predicted model, not a curated record.